RNAcentral lists this ribosomal RNA (674 nucleotides) under uncultured bacterium. Its description in RNAcentral is "bacterial SSU rRNA". It matches the Rfam family "Bacterial small subunit ribosomal RNA", at positions 49 to 709 of the family's 1533-position model. The record is from RNAcentral.
UUACACAUGCAAGUGGAGCGACGAACCAGGGCUUGCCCUGGGGCAGAGCCGCGAACGGGUGAGUAACACGUGGGUAACCUACCCCGAUGACUGGGACAACCCGAGGAAGCUCGGGCUAAUACCGGAUGUGCUCGGAGUUCACGAGAACUUUGAGUAAAGGAAGCUUCGGCCUCCGCAUUGGGAGGGGCCCGCGGCCCAUUAGCUUGUUGGUGGGGUAACGGCCUACCAAGGCUGCGAUGGGUAGCUGGUCUGAGAGGACGAUCAGCCACACUGGGACUGAGACACGGCCCAGACUCCUACGGGAGGCAGCAGUGGGGAAUCUUGCGCAAUGCGCGAAAGCGUGACGCAGCAACACCGCGUGAGGGAAGACGGCCUUCGGGUUGUAAACCUCUUUCAGGAGGGACGAAGGUCGACCGGUGAAUAGCCGUGUCGACUGACGGUACCUCCAGAAGAAGCACCGGCUAACUACGUGCCAGCAGCCGCGGUAAUACGUAGGGUGCAAGCGUUGUCCGGAAUCAUUGGGCGUAAAGCGCGCGUAGGCGGCCCGAUAAGUCCGCUGUAAAAGUCAACGGCUCAACUGUUGAAAGCCGGUGGAUACUGUCGGGCUAGAGUACGGAAGAGGCAAGUGGAAUUCCCGGUGUAGCGGUGGAAUGCGCAGAUAUCAGGAGGAACAC